GCUGUGUGUACAAGGAGAUCCAGCUCCCCACCUUCAUAGCCCCCCCGUCUGCUGCCUCUUCUCCAGAGCUUCCUCGAUCCACGCUGCCUCGACAUCGACUGGGACACCUGGGCGGUUUCUGAGAACCUAGAUGGAUCUAUGGGCGACCGGCCUCUCCUGAACCUGGAUCUGAACCUGAACCUGAACCUGAACCCAGCUGUGUGUCCUUCAAGAAAGACAAGUCAAAGCAUCGCUUCAAUGAUUUUAAAAGACGACAACCCUCUACUCAAAGAGUUUAGCUGUUCAUCACAUUAAAAUCUGACUGAUUCAUGUUGAACUGUUAUUUAUCCAGAGAAGUUUUAUUAAACCUGUGUGUUUA
Molecule: long non-coding RNA, 358 nt
Organism: Micropterus salmoides (largemouth bass)
Lineage: Eukaryota; Metazoa; Chordata; Actinopteri; Centrarchiformes; Centrarchidae
Exons: 2
Source: RefSeq, a predicted model, not a curated record